GACGAACCGUGCGAACGUUGUUCGGAAUCACUGGGCUUAAAGGGCGCGUAGGCGGGCAUUCAAGUCGGUGGUGAAAUCCUCCAGCUUAACUGGAGAAGAGCUGUCGAUACUGGAUGUCUCGAGGGGUGCAGGGGUCUGCGGAACUUCGGGUGGAGCGGUGAAAUGCGUAGAGAUCCGAAGGAACGCCGGUGGCGAAAGCGGCGGACUGGGCACCUUCUGACGCUGAGGCGCGAAAGCCAGGGGAGCAAACGGGAUUAGAUACCCCGGUAGUCCUGGCCCUAAACGAUGGGUACUAGGUUGAAGGCUUACAUGGGCUUUCAGCCGGAGCAAAAGUGUUAAGUACCCCGCCUGGGGAGUAUGGUCGCAAGGCUGAA
Molecule: ribosomal RNA, 374 nt
Filed under: uncultured bacterium
Lineage: Bacteria
Description: bacterial SSU rRNA
Rfam family: Bacterial small subunit ribosomal RNA
Source: RNAcentral